CCUACGGGAGGCAGCAGUGAGGAAUAUUGGUCAAUGGACGAGAGUCUGAACCAGCCAAGUAGCGUGAAGGAUGACUGCCCUAUGGGUUGUAAACUUCUUUUAUAUGGGAAUAAAAUGUUUCACGUGUGGGAUUUUGUAUGUACCCUAUGAAUAAGGAUCGGCUAACUCCGUGCCAGCAGCCGCGGUAAUACGGAGGAUCCGAGCGUUAUCCGGAUUUAUUGGGUUUAAAGGGAGCGUAGGUGGAUUGUUAAGUCAGUUGUGAAAGUUUGCGGCUCAACCGUAAAAUUGCAGUUGAAACUGGCAGUCUGGAGUACAGUAGAGGUGGGCGGAAUUCGUGGUGUAGCGGUGAAAUGCUUAGAUAUCACGAAGAACUCCGAUUGCGAAGGCAGCUCACUGGACUGCAACUGACACUGAGGCUCGAAAGUGUGGGUAUCAAACAGGAUUAGAUACCCUAGUAGUC
This 460-nucleotide ribosomal RNA is filed under the name uncultured bacterium. RNAcentral describes it as "partial 16S ribosomal RNA". It matches the Rfam family "Bacterial small subunit ribosomal RNA", at positions 338 to 795 of the family's 1533-position model. The record is from RNAcentral.